ACGAACGCUGGCGGCGUGCUUAACACAUGCAAGUCGAACGGAAAGGCCCUGCUUUUGUGGGGUGCUCGAGUGGCGAACGGGUGAGUAACACGUUAGUAACCUGCCCUUGACUUUGGGGUAACUUCAAGAAACUGGGGCUAAUACCGGAUAGGAGCUCCUGCUGCCUGGUGGGGGGUGGAAAGUUUCGGCGGUUGGGGAUGGACUCGCGGCUUAUCAGCUUGUUGGUGGGGUAGUGGCUUACCAAGGCUUUGACGGGUAGCCGGCCUGAGAGGGUGACCGGCCACAUUGGGACUGAGAUACGGCCCAGACUCCUACGGGAGGCAGCAGUGGGGAAUAUUGCACAAUGGGCGGAAGCCUGAUGCAGCAACGCCGCGUGCGGGAUGACGGCCUUCGGGUUGUAAACCGCUUUCGCCUGUGACGAAGCGUGAGUGACGGUAAUGGGUAAAGAAGCACCGGCUAACUACGUG
This 467-nucleotide ribosomal RNA is filed under the name uncultured bacterium. RNAcentral describes it as "partial 16S ribosomal RNA". It matches the Rfam family "Bacterial small subunit ribosomal RNA", at positions 29 to 507 of the family's 1533-position model. The record is from RNAcentral.